GCGGGUUGUGACCCAUUUUGACGGCUCUAGGUAAAGGAGAAGUCUACCAAAAUUUAAAAAUAAUUCACGGUUGAAGUGAGGGGAAUGAGAGUGUUAAAUUGUGAUUAAGAAUAAUAGGCUUGUAAGAUAAGCCUUGCACAGAGAUAAAAUAAUAAAACAAAAGGCAAAAGAAGGAAGGGUGUUGCUCCCUCCACCACCACUCUUGCUAUAUCCUCUUCUCC
This 221-nucleotide long non-coding RNA is filed under the name Vigna radiata. RNAcentral describes it as "long non-coding RNA (VRAD_LNC007817)". The record is from RNAcentral. Lineage: Eukaryota; Viridiplantae; Streptophyta; Magnoliopsida; Fabales; Fabaceae.